GAUGAACGCCGGCGGUGUGCCUAAUACAUGCAAGUCGAGCGCACUGGCCCAACUGAUAUGACGUGCUUGCACUGAUUUGACGAUGGAUCACCAGUGAGCGGCGGACGGGUGAGUAACACGUGGGUAACCUACCUCAUACACAUGGAUAACAUACCGAAAGGUAUGCUAAUACAAGAUGAUAUAAGAGAUUCGCAUGGGUUUCUUAUCAAAGCUCCGGCGGUAUGAGAUGGACCCGCGUCUGAUUAGCUAGUUGGUAAGGUAACGGCUUACCAAGGCGACGAUCAGUAGCCGACUUGAGAGACUGAUCGGCCACAAUGGAACUGAGACACGGUCCAUACUCCUACGGGAGGCAGCAGUAGGGAAUCUUCCACAAUGGGCGCAAGCCUGAUGGAGCAACACCGCGUGAGUGAAGAAGGGUUUCGGCUCGUAAAGCUCUGUUGUUGGAGAAGAACGUGCGUGAGAGUAACUGUUCACGCAGUGACGGUAUCCAACCAGAAAGUCACGGCUAACUACGUGCCAGCAGCCGCGGUAAUACGUAGGUGGCAAGCGUUAUCCGGAUUUAUUGGGCGUAAAGCGAGCGCAGGCGGUUGCUUAGGUCUGAUGUGAAAGCCUUCGGCUUAACCGAAGAAGUGCAUCGGAAACCGGGCGACUUGAGUGCAGAAGAGGACAGUGGAACUCCAUGUGUAGCGGUGGAAUGCGUAGAUAUAUGGAAGAACACCAGUGGCGAAGGCGGCUGUCUGGUCUGCAACUGACGCUGAGGCUCGAAAGCAUGGGUAGCGAACAGGAUUAGAUACCCUGGUAGUCCAUGCCGUAAACGAUGAGUGCUAGGUGUUGGAGGGUUUCCGCCCUUCAGUGCCGGAGCUAACGCAUUAAGCACUCCGCCUGGGGAGUACGACCGCAAGGUUGAAACUCAAAGGAAUUGACGGGGGCCCGCACAAGCGGUGGAGCAUGUGGUUUAAUUCGAAGCUACGCGAAGAACCUUACCAGGUCUUGACAUCUUGCGCUAACCUUAGAGAUAAGGCGUUCCCUUCGGGGACGCAAUGACAGGUGGUGCAUGGUCGUCGUCAGCUCGUGUCGUGAGAUGUUGGGUUAAGUCCCGCAACGAGCGCAACCCUUGUUACUAGUUGCCAGCAUUAAGUUGGGCACUCUAGUGAGACUGCCGGUGACAAACCGGAGGAAGGUGGGGACGACGUCAGAUCAUCAUGCCCCUUAUGACCUGGGCUACACACGUGCUACAAUGGACGGUACAACGAGUCGCAAGCUCGCGAGAGUAAGCUAAUCUCUUAAAGCCGUUCUCAGUUCGGACUGUAGGCUGCAACUCGCCUACACGAAGUCGGAAUCGCUAGUAAUCGCGGAUCAGCAUGCCGCGGUGAAUACGUUCCCGGGCCUUGUACACACCGCCCGUCACACCAUGGGAGUUUGUAACGCCCAAAGUCGGUGGCCUAACCAUUAUGGAGGGAGCCGCCUAAGGCGGGACAGAUGACUGGGGUG
RNAcentral lists this ribosomal RNA (1491 nucleotides) under uncultured bacterium. RNAcentral's name for it is "bacterial SSU rRNA". It matches the Rfam family "Bacterial small subunit ribosomal RNA". The record is from RNAcentral.